AAUGUUUUCUUCUUCAGCCUUUUGGUCUAGUUCCAGCCUUUGAAGAUGGAGACCUCAAGCUCUUUGAAUCAAGAGCGAUUACUCAGUACAUAGCUCACAAAUAC
Non-coding RNA from Camelina sativa (false flax), 104 nucleotides. The record is from RefSeq and is a predicted model, not a curated record. Lineage: Eukaryota; Viridiplantae; Streptophyta; Magnoliopsida; Brassicales; Brassicaceae.